This is a long non-coding RNA of Aethalodelphis obliquidens (Pacific white-sided dolphin), 465 nucleotides long. RefSeq lists it as uncharacterized. Lineage: Eukaryota; Metazoa; Chordata; Mammalia; Artiodactyla; Delphinidae. The transcript has 3 exons. The record is from RefSeq and is a predicted model, not a curated record.
CUUCACUGCCAGCCGAGUAUCACCACAGAGCUGUCCUUGGCUGUGUUCAGCCCCACAGUGGACUUGGCCUAAGUUUUUGAGACCACCAACAAAGGAGCCUGAGCUUGAGGAAAUUUGCUCUCGGAGGGACUGAAAAAACAUUAACAACGUGUACAGAGAAAAAUGAAAAGGAUUGUGUCCAUGACAAGUAGAAGAAUGAGAGAGACGGCGUAGAGGGUGAAGCUUAAGUGAGACCUGAUAUUGCCUGGGCUCCAGCUGAUGUUUCAAAGCCAAGCCAAGCGGUGAGUACCCUGACGACCGCCCCCAGGUAUCAGUGCUGGCUGGCACGCUUCCACCCCAGUGACCCAUCCCUGGGCUUUGCCUUCAUCCCUGGUACUCAGGUAUCCUUGUGGUACUCAGCUCCCACACUGUCUUGUCUUUUUUUUUUUUUUUUUUUGCGGUACGCGGGCCUCUCCCGUUGCGGAG